This is a long non-coding RNA of Oncorhynchus nerka (sockeye salmon), 2375 nucleotides long. RefSeq lists it as uncharacterized. Lineage: Eukaryota; Metazoa; Chordata; Actinopteri; Salmoniformes; Salmonidae. The transcript is spliced from 2 exons. The record is from RefSeq and is a predicted model, not a curated record.
GUGAUAGUCGGGAACUAGAAAACUCAAAUAGAUACAACUUUCUAAAUGGUUAAACGCGGCACGUGUAUAACUACAACCUAUUAGCAAGUCGGAGAUUUCUGAAUUUCAUAAUUACCAUUAGCAUUUGAACGUGGCAUAUCUGCCGUAUAGCGUACGAGUAACCUACAAAUUGAGUGCUGACGUGUACUUUUCAGCCAACAGGAACAGACUGGCUUCUUCGUCAAGGAAUAAGUGUCCUACCUAUGUUUAUGUAAUCCUACACCAUAGCAUCCAUUACUUUGGAGGAGAUAUGUUGAGAGUAAAGGAAGGUUUAGGACCAGCAAGUCAUGGGCCUUGUGGCAAUGGUGAUUACCUCAUCAUGCACAAUACCACAACAGUAUUCUACAAUGUGAAAUUCUCUUUGGACUUAAGCAGCUGUUUCUACUCAGCAAUCUAACCACUGCAUAGAAAAAAAGAGGAGGAGGGAACUGGGCCGCGGCGUAGCACCAAGCCAAACAGAGAAUGGCGGCAUCAUGACAUGAGCUGGUGAGGCGUAAUUGAAAGCAGAUGCGAGCAGAGCACGCUGGAGUUGGAACACAGAGUUAUGCAGACCCGCCCCUCUGACACUUGAACUAUCACUCGAGCCAGGAAAUUAGAGAAUGGGGAAAGGGGGGUGUGCGUAUGUGUUUAGGUGGGGAUUCCACUUUAAUAUCGUCAGAGAGCAACUGAAUCAUGAGUAGAGGGCAAGUCAUUCUCAUUAUUUGUACAACAUAAAUUAUGAAUGUUUUCCAGUUUAUUUCAAGGGCCUUAUUACUAUACAGACUUUCUACUGCAUGAAAUUUCAGUCACAGGUGGGAUAUUAUGCAAAAACAUGUUUAUUUUGCAAGGGGAAGUCAACCAACCGAUUCAGGUUACUCAAACCAAGUCUCACUGUUUGAUGCAAAAUGGGGUGGAAAGGAGUGGCCUCCAAUUCAACCCCAGUGUUUCCACAGAAGAUCAUUGUUAUAUCUUAUGGGGAUCAAAUUGUAUGGAUGUGCCGUAACCCUGAACCUUUCAAUACGUUUUCCAAAUCCCUCCAAAGUCCUCCGUUCAUUGGGGAAAAAAUCACCAAGGACCAUACACACUAUAGUUGUGUUAUAUAGUGUUUUGUACACUCAAUAUAUAUAAAUAGUGUGUAAAGAGUAUUUUUGUUGUCUCUUUGUGUCUUUUUUUACAUUUAUUUUAUUUUAUGUAAUAUCUUAUGUUGUUCUUUUCUAUUACUGUUCUAUACUUUGUCAUGUAUUUGUAUGUUUUAUGUGGAAACCAGGAAGAGUAGCUGCUGCAUGUGCAGAAGGUAAUGGGGAUCCUAAUAAACCAAACUAUUCUAUCUUUCCUUCCUUCUCUCUCAAAUCAAUCUAACUACUAACACUCUGUUUCUACUUCAUUUGAACAGCAGAUGUUAUUGCCACUCUAAAUAAGAUAAAAGCCAUUGACAGAUUUUCCAACCAUCUUCAGUUGUACUCCCCUCCUCAUGACUGUAUUAGAAGGUCAGGAAAACAGUGCCCUUUAAACUGGCUUUGAUUAUGACAAGAGUCCACCUAACAGUUUGUUGGAGCCACAGGCUUGUUUUGAUCCAGACAAUUAUCCUUAACAAAGUUUACCCUGGUCCUAAACAUGAGGACACUUUGAGAGUCAGAGAGUUCAGCUUAUUGGCUCUUUAGAGCGAGAGAGACAUUUAAUUGAACCUUUAUUUAACUAGGCAAGUCUGUGAAGAGCAAAAUUCUUAUCUAUAAUGACAUCCUACCGGGGGACAGUGGGUUAACUGCCUUGUUCAGUGGCAGAAUUACAGAUUUUUACCUUGUCAGCUCAGGGAUUCAACCCAGCAAACUUUUGGUUACUGGACCAAUCCUCCAACCACUAGGCUACCUGCCACCCCACAUCUGGUUUGAGGUUGCUCCCCCUCUCUGCAUGUAGGCUUGUUGUUGUCAAGAAGGGCCUUGUUCUUUAAUGCACUAAAACUACUACAGCUGUGAGACAGCAGUAUUGAACUGUUACCCAGUCUUGUGAGUCCUAGAGGGAGAGGUAUGUUUGAAAGCCAGCGGAUUUGGGCAGUGUGGCCAACGUGUACUAAAGAAACAUUCACAUUUGGGGACUGAGAACAGCAGUCGUUGAGGGAAACAGAUCAUCUCAUGGAGGUGACAGAAGAAACAUGUUAAUAAGUUCUCUCCUUGGUAACAGCUAAACAAAAUAAAAGUUUGUUUGUUAUUUGUUCACAAAGCUACGGAAGCAAUAGCUUCAUCUACGUGUAAUGUACAAAUACUGAAGAUUUGUCCCACAUCUGGACACUGAAUAAUAGUGGACCAAUAACAACUGGUGAAGGUUUUAGGUGUUUAUUAAAUAUGUUGAAUACAUUUACA